RNAcentral lists this long non-coding RNA (845 nucleotides) under Fukomys damarensis (Damara mole-rat). RNAcentral's name for it is "lncRNA (ENSFDAG00000027563.1)". Lineage: Eukaryota; Metazoa; Chordata; Mammalia; Rodentia; Bathyergidae. The record is from RNAcentral.
CUUAUUGGGCACCAGUGUACGAUGUGCUGAGAUUGUCGAGCUCAAGAUUAUCAAUCAGGAAGUGUCUGGAAGUCGCUGCUCAAGGGUACCCCUUACAAGUCCCCAUGUCUUAGUCAACAGCCCGUCUGGGGGUAUUCUUGCAGUGUGGAUAACAGUGUCUGUGGAAUCUCUACCUGUUCCAACCUUCAGCUCUUUUCAGCGCGAUACACUCACUCUAAAGUACAGGGACUUUACAGUCAGACAGACCCGACUUAGCACCUUGACUGCCCAACUUACUGCAUGAACCGUGGGCACUUCUGAGUGUCUUGGUGAGAUACGAUUUUUAAAAAUGCAGUGGACGCUACUGAUGCGUUCCGUUCCAUCCAGUGAAAGGACAGGUUUGUAAAAACAUUAGGGUGUGUGUUCAUCCACCUCAUUCGCUAAGCCUAGCACCAUGUGACUUCGGAGCCCCCCGCCAUCAAAUGGCUAUGCACGGUCCAAGUUUUGUGUUGAUUCAACUCAUCAAGGCAGCCAUCACAGCACAACUCAAGACCCUCAGGAUAGAGGACUUCCGGAGCUGCUUCAGAAAGAGGCAAGCAUGAUGGUGUAGUAAUGGCAAUGUGUCUUUUCCUGGAGUACAUUUUUUAAACCAUUACUUUUAAAUCACAACCAGGGUAUAUUCACAUACACGCAAAAACUUAUCCAAGUAUUUACUGAUAUUGUGUGUACAAUAUUCAAAAUAACAUUGACAUCAAGGAAAUGCACAUUUCAAGAACUUAAGUAAUGAAUCUUUAUCUCGCCGUGUCUACCCCUCGCUUUCUUCUCUUGCCUCUUUGUCUUUUCCCCCAUGCCUCAAUGAACCAGGC